GGGUGUCCCAGCCAUGAAAAGCGUCGGCACUUUUAGUGCCCUUUCUCCAAAUUUCAAAUUCAAAAUUGUUUUUUUAAAUGAAAGUGAAUUGAGUUCCCUUCCCCAUGCUCAGUAUAAGUAGAACACAGAUGCACCUCCCCCAGCAAGCAAGUGAACCUGCAGUGAAAAAAAACACUACCAAAAGGAGAGCACAGAAGCUCUGCUUAGCUGCACUGCUGAGACUGAUCGACGACGAUGGGGCAGUACUGCUCCUCCUCCCGGCAGGUCGCCGGCCAUGGCGCCGCGGUGGCCGGCGACGACGGCUUUAAGAGCUGCAGGCAGAAGCAGCAGCAGCAGCAGCAGCCGCCGGAGACGGGGAAGAGGGCGGCGCCGCCGCGGAGGAAGGCGAUGAAGCAUGCCUACGACGCUUCCGGCCAGCAAGACCUGGUCCUCGUGGUGUCGCUGGACUCCAUCACCAAGAUCGGCUAGGCUAGCAGCAGCAGCUGCUGCCAGAUUCUGACAUGAUCAAGAAGCUCUCUCUCUCUGUCUCGACUGGCUCUGACGGUGAUCGGUGAACAUGCCUUGUUGUCUACUUAAUUAAGAAGGUUUACAUAUGCACCUCCAACCCUCGUGUACUACUAAGUUAUUAUUGUGUUACAGUAAUUGUAGCCUCGAAUUCGUGAGUUAAAAAUUAGUCCGUAGAUCUUUGUAUCAUGAAUAAUUCGAUAAGGUCCUUGUAUCCAUCAUCUAUAAUAUUAUGUAUUAAUUAAUGGAGAGGUGUGUUUACUAUUAUGUUCUUG
Oryza brachyantha (malo sina) is the source of this 779-nucleotide long non-coding RNA. RefSeq lists it as uncharacterized. The record is from RefSeq and is a predicted model, not a curated record. NCBI's taxonomy places the organism in Eukaryota, Viridiplantae, Streptophyta, Magnoliopsida, Poales, Poaceae. The transcript has 3 exons.